GGCCGCGUGGCCCAAUGGCAAGGCGUUUGACUACGAUUUAUCGUACAUCAAGAGACUCUGGGUUCGAGCCCCAGCGUGGUCA
Transfer RNA from Rhodotorula sp. JG-1b, 82 nucleotides. It matches the Rfam family "tRNA". Rfam says of the family: Transfer RNA (tRNA) molecules are approximately 80 nucleotides in length. The record is from Rfam. Lineage: Eukaryota; Fungi; Basidiomycota; Microbotryomycetes; Sporidiobolales; Sporidiobolaceae.